RNAcentral lists this long non-coding RNA (327 nucleotides) under Glycine max (soybean). RNAcentral describes it as "long non-coding RNA (GMAX_LNC004396)". Lineage: Eukaryota; Viridiplantae; Streptophyta; Magnoliopsida; Fabales; Fabaceae. The record is from RNAcentral.
AACAUUAUCAUCCUUCAACCUAUGCCAGUGAAUAUAUUGAUCUCGAUCAAGCAACAUAUUCCGUUGUUGCAUUUUGGUGUUACUCCUUCUUAUGGAAGAACGGUAAGCAUGUCUCGCAUUGUAAAUUUGUUUGAUUAUUGUAUAAUUGUUGUCAUUGUAUUCCUUCAACGUCAACAAAAUAUUUCUUGGCUUCACCAUGAACUUCAUUAUAUCAACAACAACAAUAUUCUCAUCCAUUGUCAGUCGACCCACAUAUGGAUGCCCAACAAAUGACUGUCAUUUUGUGAUUGUGAACCCCACAAAUUAACUUCACCAUCUAUCAUUCUC